GCCUAUCUCAGUUCGGAUUGGAGGCUGAAACCCGCCUCCAUGAAGUUGGAUUCGCUAGUAACCGCGCAUCAGCCAUGGCGCGGUGAAUACGUUCCCGGGCCUUGUACACACCGCCCGUCAAGCCAUGGGAGCUGGGGGUGCCUGAAGUUCGUGACCGCAAGGAUCGACCUAGGGCAAAACCGGUGACUGGGGCUAAGUCGUAACAAGGUAAC
RNAcentral lists this ribosomal RNA (212 nucleotides) under uncultured bacterium. RNAcentral describes it as "partial 16S ribosomal RNA". It matches the Rfam family "Bacterial small subunit ribosomal RNA", at positions 1281 to 1500 of the family's 1533-position model. The record is from RNAcentral.